GGAAGGGUACAGCUCAGUGGUGGAGCGUGUGCUUAACAUGCAUGAGGUCCUGGGUUCAGUCCUCAGUCCCUCCA
Camelus ferus (Wild Bactrian camel) is the source of this 74-nucleotide non-coding RNA. The record is from Rfam. NCBI's taxonomy places the organism in Eukaryota, Metazoa, Chordata, Mammalia, Artiodactyla, Camelidae.